This 95-nucleotide non-coding RNA is filed under the name bovine gut metagenome. Its description in RNAcentral is "THF riboswitch". It matches the Rfam family "THF (Tetrahydrofolate) riboswitch aptamer". From Rfam's summary of the family: THF riboswitch presents a pseudoknot that joins P1-P2 and the loop of P3 and two THF binding. The record is from RNAcentral.
GCAGAGUAGAUGACCGUGCGUUAAGUGCUGUCGGGACGGGGAGUUGCCUGACAGACGAAGGAUUUUCCCGCGGUUCGGCCGUCGCAUCCCGCUGC